Toxotes jaculatrix (banded archerfish) is the source of this 498-nucleotide long non-coding RNA. RefSeq lists it as uncharacterized. The record is from RefSeq and is a predicted model, not a curated record. The transcript is spliced from 3 exons. NCBI's taxonomy places the organism in Eukaryota, Metazoa, Chordata, Actinopteri, Toxotidae.
ACUGUCCACGGAUCUUGGACACGUGCUCGGAGAUGCAGGAGUGGAUGUCACAGUUCUUCCUGUAGACGUCGGCCAGCAGCUCACCAAAGUAACGCGUGUCCAGCUUCGUCGGCUGGGGCGCCUCCCUCAGGUUUCACUGACGGCAGAGAAACACAGUGGAAACAUUUGGUCUGAUGUCAGACAAAACGUCUUAAAUAUCCAAAGCUGUGGCUGAGCAGAGCAGUCAAACCAGAUUCCACAGGAGCCCGGGGGAAGAUCAGGAGCCAGAACUUCCCACAAGAAAAGUUAUUGCCAUUGGAGGGCCACCAAGACCCACAUGGAGCCCUGAAGCAUUUCAAUAUCAUGUUCAGUUUCAGCACUUGGCUCGGGGCUCUUGGUGGGACUGGACGACUGGCUGAACACUGAUGAAGACUUCCCGCUGAUGCUCUGAAAUAACAGACGAAGGUGGCAGAGAAAAAGAAGAAGAAAAGGUCAGAUUUUUAAACAGAAAAUAAUGAA